This 2049-nucleotide ribosomal RNA is filed under the name Salmonella enterica subsp. enterica serovar Senftenberg. RNAcentral describes it as "partial 23S ribosomal RNA". It matches the Rfam family "Bacterial large subunit ribosomal RNA", at positions 911 to 2925 of the family's 2925-position model. The record is from RNAcentral. Lineage: Bacteria; Pseudomonadati; Pseudomonadota; Gammaproteobacteria; Enterobacterales; Enterobacteriaceae.
UGUUUCGGCUAGGGGGCCAUCCCGGCUUACCAACCCGAUGCAAACUGCGAAUACCGGAGAAUGUUAUCACGGGAGACACACGGCGGGUGCUAACGUCCGUCGUGAAGAGGGAAACAACCCAGACCGCCAGCUAAGGUCCCAAAGUCAUGGUUAAGUGGGAAACGAUGUGGGAAGGCCCAGACAGCCAGGAUGUUGGCUUAGAAGCAGCCAUCAUUUAAAGAAAGCGUAAUAGCUCACUGGUCGAGUCGGCCUGCGCGGAAGAUGUAACGGGGCUAAACCAUGCACCGAAGCUGCGGCAGCGACGCUGAUGCGUUGUUGGGUAGGGGAGCGUUCUGUAAGCCUGUGAAGGUGGCCUGUGAGGGUUGCUGGAGGUAUCAGAAGUGCGAAUGCUGACAUAAGUAACGAUAAAGCGGGUGAAAAGCCCGCUCGCCGGAAGACCAAGGGUUCCUGUCCAACGUUAAUCGGGGCAGGGUGAGUCGACCCCUAAGGCGAGGCCGAAAGGCGUAGUCGAUGGGAAACGGGUUAAUAUUCCCGUACUUGGUGUUACUGCGAAGGGGGGACGGAGAAGGCUAUGUUGGCCGGGCGACGGUUGUCCCGGUUUAAGCGUGUAGGCUGGUUUUCCAGGCAAAUCCGGAAAAUCAAGGCUGAGGCGUGAUGACGAGGCACUACGGUGCUGAAGCAACAAAUGCCCUGCUUCCAGGAAAAGCCUCUAAGCAUCAGGUAACAUCAAAUCGUACCCCAAACCGACACAGGUGGUCAGGUAGAGAAUACCAAGGCGCUUGAGAGAACUCGGGUGAAGGAACUAGGCAAAAUGGUGCCGUAACUUCGGGAGAAGGCACGCUGACAUGUAGGUGAAGUGAUUUACUCAUGGAGCUGAAGUCAGUCGAAGAUACCAGCUGGCUGCAACUGUUUAUUAAAAACACAGCACUGUGCAAACACGAAAGUGGACGUAUACGGUGUGACGCCUGCCCGGUGCCGGAAGGUUAAUUGAUGGGGUCAGCGCAAGCGAAGCUCCUGAUCGAAGCCCCGGUAAACGGCGGCCGUAACUAUAACGGUCCUAAGGUAGCGAAAUUCCUUGUCGGGUAAGUUCCGACCUGCACGAAUGGCGUAAUGAUGGCCAGGCUGUCUCCACCCGAGACUCAGUGAAAUUGAACUCGCUGUGAAGAUGCAGUGUACCCGCGGCAAGACGGAAAGACCCCGUGAACCUUUACUAUAGCUUGACACUGAACAUUGAGCCUUGAUGUGUAGGAUAGGUGGGAGGCUUUGAAGCGUGGACGCCAGUCUGCGUGGAGCCAACCUUGAAAUACCACCCUUUAAUGUUUGAUGUUCUAACGUGGACCCGUAAUCCGGGUUGCGGACAGUGUCUGGUGGGUAGUUUGACUGGGGCGGUCUCCUCCUAAAGAGUAACGGAGGAGCACGAAGGUUGGCUAAUCCUGGUCGGACAUCAGGAGGUUAGUGCAAUGGCAUAAGCCAGCUUGACUGCGAGCGUGACGGCGCGAGCAGGUGCGAAAGCAGGUCAUAGUGAUCCGGUGGUUCUGAAUGGAAGGGCCAUCGCUCAACGGAUAAAAGGUACUCCGGGGAUAACAGGCUGAUACCGCCCAAGAGUUCAUAUCGACGGCGGUGUUUGGCACCUCGAUGUCGGCUCAUCACAUCCUGGGGCUGAAGUAGGUCCCAAGGGUAUGGCUGUUCGCCAUUUAAAGUGGUACGCGAGCUGGGUUUAGAACGUCGUGAGACAGUUCGGUCCCUAUCUGCCGUGGGCGCUGGAGAACUGAGGGGGGCUGCUCCUAGUACGAGAGGACCGGAGUGGACGCAUCACUGGUGUUCGGGUUGUCAUGCCAAUGGCACUGCCCGGUAGCUAAAUGCGGAAGAGAUAAGUGCUGAAAGCAUCUAAGCACGAAACUUGCCCCGAGAUGAGUUCUCCCUGAGACUUAGAGUCUCCUGAAGGAACGUUGAAGACGACGACGUUGAUAGGCCGGGUGUGUAAGCGCAGCGAUGCGUUGAGCUAACCGGUACUAAUGAACCGUGAGGCUUAACCUUACAACGCCGAAG